This 446-nucleotide ribosomal RNA is filed under the name uncultured bacterium. Its description in RNAcentral is "partial 16S ribosomal RNA". It matches the Rfam family "Bacterial small subunit ribosomal RNA", at positions 338 to 795 of the family's 1533-position model. The record is from RNAcentral.
CCUACGGGAGGCAGCAGUCGAGAAUCAUUCACAAUGGGGGAAACCCUGAUGGGGCGACGCCGCGUGGGGGAAUGAAGGUCUUCGGAUUGUAAACCCCUGUCAUGUGGGAGCAAAUUAAAAAGAUAGUACCACAAGAGGAAGAGACGGCUAACUCUGGGCCAGCAGCCGCGGUAAUACAGAGGUCUCAAGCGGUGUCCGGAAUCACUGGGCGUAAAGCGUGCGUAGGCGGUUUUGUAAGUCGGGUGUGAAAGGCGCGGGCUCAACCCGCGGACGGCACAUGAUACUGCGAGACUAGAGUAAUGGAGGGGGAACCGGAAUUCUCGGUGUAGCGGUGAAAUGCGUAGAUAUCGAGAGGAACACUCGUGGCGAAGGCGGGUUCCUGGACAUUAACUGACGCUGAGGCACGAAAGCCAGGGGAGCGAAAAGGAUUAGAUACCCGUGUAGUC